UGGGGAAUAUUGCACAAUGGGCGCAAGCCUGAUGCAGCCAUGCCGCGUGUGUGAAGAAGGCCUUCGGGUUGUAAAGCACUUUCAGCGGGGAGGAAGGCGAUAAGGUUAAUAACCUUGUCGAUUGACGUUACCCGCAGAAGAAGCACCGGCUAACUCCGUGCCAGCAGCCGCGGUAAUACGGAGGGUGCAAGCGUUAAUCGGAAUUACUGGGCGUAAAGCGCACGCAGGCGGUCUGUCAAGUCGGAUGUGAAAUCCCCGGGCUCAACCUGGGAACUGCAUUCGAAACUGGCAGGCUAGAGUCUUGUAGAGGGGGGUAGAAUUCCAGGUGUAGCGGUGAAAUGCGUAGAGAUCUGGAGGAAUACCGGUGGCGAAGGCGGCCCCCUGGACAACGACUGACGCUCAGGUGCGAAAGCGUGGGGAGCAAACAGG
Molecule: ribosomal RNA, 429 nt
Filed under: Chloroflexota bacterium
Lineage: Bacteria; Bacillati; Chloroflexota
Description: Chloroflexi bacterium partial 16S ribosomal RNA
Rfam family: Bacterial small subunit ribosomal RNA
Source: RNAcentral